GAUUAUCUAUUCGGGUUGGAUAAUUCGGAUGAUCCUCCCCAACCUCGUGAGUCUAAAAUGAAGAGUCGACUUGUUUUGCAAGACAACGUUUCGGCUUCCGAUCCAGGUUCUCCUGCUCCGGUUGUUUCUUCGCCGUUCUGCUCGACUUCGUCAGCCAUCCCGAUUGUGCCUUCGAUUCCUGAUCUUCCACCCGUCAAGACCAAGCCCGAAAACCUGGAUCCAAUCAUACAACCGAAGCAGAAUACAAUAGAUGUUUGUUCUGAGACAAUUGAAGUAAUGACGACCCAACCAACUCGGUACCCGAGUCAUCCCGUCAUGCAUUAUAUUCCGGAUUCUCAUUAUCCUGGUCAUCAAGUACAACAAAUGCCAGUUUACUACGUACCGGGUCCAGUUCCACCGGGUAAUGUUCCAGUGCAGCCCUUUCAAAUUCGGGCUCCAUACGUUCAGCAAUACCCAGUGUCAACGGGUCAAAUACCAGUGGGGUAUCACCAAGCAGUUCCGGGUAUGAGUCCAUUAUACGGUGGGGCUGCUAUGAGGCCUAUUACUACAUUGGAUCCCUAUGACGGCGGAAGAGCAGUUCCUGAUGGGAUGAAUCAACAGGUUUAUUAUGGGGUCAGAAAUGUAAGUCCAGGCAUGGUUCAGGGGUACCCAGGUAUGGUGGUGCCUGGUGGCGAAGAUUUGCAAAGGACUGUCUCGGACACAAAGUCGGGUCGAGUCUCCCAAUCUUCUUGAUGAUAACUGCAGUAUAUUAUUUGGUAUUUUGCUUGCUUAUGUUUUGCUUUAAGGUUUGUGAUUGGUGAUUGUCCGCUAAAACGAACUUGUAAAUUGUAAUUAGCUUGCUUUUCUUCUUUCAAAUGCUUCUGUUUUGUUGAUUUUGUGUAUAAUAU
This 887-nucleotide unclassified non-coding RNA is filed under the name Hevea brasiliensis (rubber tree). Lineage: Eukaryota; Viridiplantae; Streptophyta; Magnoliopsida; Malpighiales; Euphorbiaceae. The record is from RNAcentral.